This is a non-coding RNA of Dipodomys ordii (Ord's kangaroo rat), 72 nucleotides long. The record is from Rfam. NCBI's taxonomy places the organism in Eukaryota, Metazoa, Chordata, Mammalia, Rodentia, Heteromyidae.
GGGAAGUUGGCUCAGUGGUAGAGCACUUGCCUUGCAUGCCUGAGGCCCUGGGUUCAAAUCCUCAACACCACA